CAGCCGCCGCGGUAAUACGAAGGGUGCAAGCGUUAAUCGGAAUUACUGGGCGUAAAGCGUGCGUAGGCGGUGAGUUAAGUCUGCUGUGAAAUCCCCGGGCUCAACCUGGGAAUGGCAGUGGAUACUGGCUCGCUAGAGUGUGUCAGAGGAUGGUGGAAUUCCCGGUGUAGCGGUGAAAUGCGUAGAGAUCGGGAGGAACAUCAGUGGCGAAGGCGGCCAUCUGGGACAACACUGACGCUGAGGCACGAAAGCGUGGGGAGCAAACAGGAUUAGAUACCCCUGUAGUCCCUGUCUCUUUACA
This 301-nucleotide ribosomal RNA is filed under the name uncultured bacterium. RNAcentral describes it as "partial 16S ribosomal RNA". It matches the Rfam family "Bacterial small subunit ribosomal RNA", at positions 509 to 808 of the family's 1533-position model. The record is from RNAcentral.